AACUGUUUCUCAAGCAGCAGUGAAAGUUUGUGUGGUUGUGCAUUUCCUUAGCAGGCGGUCAUUCCUCUGCCUUCUCUCCCCCGCCUCCCCCAAAAUGCUCACGCUCGUAAUUUCUAACCUUUGAAAGGUUUUGUGGCACUUGUAUCGCUUCUGCGAGCUUGUUGGGCGUUGGAGGGACUGGAAUAGGGAGGAGAAAGAAAGAAAGAAAGAAAGAAAGAAAGAAAGAAAGAAAGAAAGAAAGAAAGAAAGAAAGAAAGAAAGAAAGAAAGAAAGAAAGAAAGAAAGACGUCCCUUGCCACCUGGGCCGAAGGAAUAGCAAGGGGCAACCUUGAGACUGUGCAGCUGGCCCAAGGC
This is a non-coding RNA of Pogona vitticeps (central bearded dragon), 354 nucleotides long. Lineage: Eukaryota; Metazoa; Chordata; Lepidosauria; Squamata; Agamidae. The record is from RefSeq and is a predicted model, not a curated record.